GGGAAGUUCAUGAGUUUAUCAAAAUUAUUACUCAAUAUCAUCUAUAAAAGCUAGACUUGAACAGUUUAUAAAAUUGCAUUGAAAGCACAAAAUUCUUUUGAAUAGCUCCACCCUACCAAGUAAACCUGCAUCCCAACCUUCUCAGCAAUCAUCAAUUGCUGGAGAGUCUUGCUUUCAGCUCGUCGGCCACUGCAUCAAUAAACUCCUCAGUGUUCAGAUAAUGCUCCCUUGUCAUCUUGGAUCCAUGAAUGAUGAGUGCAAGAUCUUUUGUCAUCUUUCCAGCCUCCACAGUUCCUAUGCAUGCAGCCUCUAGCUUCUCGGUGAAAUCAAGCAGUUUAGUAUUGCCAUCAAGUUUUGCCCUGUGUGCAAGUCCUCGUGUCCAGGCAAAGAUAGAAGCGAUGCUAUUUGUACUGGUUUCACCACCCUUUUGGUGAACACGGAAAUGUCGUGUCACCGUGCCAUGUGCAGCUUCGGCUUCAAUGGUUUUCCCAUCUGGACAAACCAGUACUGAUGUCAUCAAUCCAAGAGAUCCAAAACCUUGAGCUAAGAAAUCACUUUGCACGUCUCCAUCAUAGUUCUUGCAAGCCCAUACGUAACCACCGUCACUCUUAAGCGCAUAGGCAACCAUAUCAUCAAUGAGUCGAUGUUCAUACCAUAUUCCUGCUGCCUCGUACUUGGAUUUCCAUUCAGCUUCAUACACCUCUUGGAAUAUGUCCUUGAACCUUCCAUCGUACUUCUUCAGAAUUGUAUUUUUGGUGCUAAGAUAUAGUGGCCACUUUUUCUCGUAAGCAGUAUUCAUUGAAGACUCAGCAAAAGCACGAAUAGACUCGUCUGUGUUAUACAUAGACAAGGCUACACCUCCCGCACCGGUGAAGUUAUACACCUCUAGCUCAUACUGCUCUUCUUUUCCCUCGAAAACUAGUUUGAGCUUCCCG
RNAcentral lists this unclassified non-coding RNA (935 nucleotides) under Hevea brasiliensis (rubber tree). The record is from RNAcentral. Lineage: Eukaryota; Viridiplantae; Streptophyta; Magnoliopsida; Malpighiales; Euphorbiaceae.